GUGUGCGUGUGCGCGCGCCCAGCAACCUUCCUGCGAGGAAUGGUGUGUGUGUGUGUGUGCGCGUGUGCCCGCCCAGCAACCUUCCUGCGAGGCAUGGUGUGUGUUGUGUGCACGCGCGCACGCCCAGCAACCUUCCUGAGAGGCAUGGUGUGUGUGUGUGUGUGUGUGUGGCCCGUUUUGCACGUGCGGCGCGCCAGCAACCUUCCUGAGAGGCAUGGGUCUGUGUGUGUGUGCGUGCGUGCGUGUGCCCGCCCAGCAACCUUCCUGCGAGGCAUGGUGCGUGUGUCUGUGUGUGCGCGCGCGCAUGGCCAGCAACCUUCCUGCAAAGCAUGGUGUGUGUGCGCGUGUGCGCGCCCAGCAACCUUCCUGCGAGGCAUGGUGUGUGUGUGUGUGUGUGUGCGCACCCAGCAACCUUCCUGCGAGGCAUGGUGUGUGUGUGUGUGUGUGUUUGUGUGUGCUCGCGCGCGCCCACAGCACCCUUUCUGCGAAGGCAAGGUCUCGGUCGGGGACUCCAGUCAGGAGAACCCUGACCCAGGGCUCAGGAGGCGGCCCCUGCAGCCUCGAGACCUGCUUUUACUGCACUGCCCCUUCUUUCUUGCCCUUUCCCCUUUCUUUCUACCUCCCUUUUUGCUAUUGGGGUAUUACCAGAAUCACCACCCCCCGGUUUUAUUGAGAAAUAAUUGACCUACAUCACUUCUCUUACUCCUUAUGGAAAUCAGAAUAGGCUCCGUCUGAACUCACAGAAUGAAAUAAGAAACAUUAUAACAGAAACAAGUCACAUAUUUCAGAUCCUAAAGCUCCAUUCUAUCGGGAAACAUUCAGAUAGAUGAUUGCCUGUUUGUUUCUGUGGGUAUUUCUUUAAACUUUCAGGAGACUCUCCAUGAUCUGUAUUUGGUUAAAUGCUGGAGUCACCUUGGCCACUUUAAUCAGGAAUGGAGGAUAUCAGGACAGAGCUUUUCACAACCCUUUCAUGAGCUGAGGAAAGUUUAAUGAUGGAAGUAGAGUGGAGGAGACAAAGCCACAGGUCCCGUUUUGUAAAUCGCAAUCUUUAAUUGUGCACAGUUAGACCUGCUUUAUUAAAAUGCAGGGAGAGGCGCCUGGAUGGCUCUGGGGGUUAACUCUCUGACUCAUGGUUUGGGCUCAGAUCAAGUAAGGUCUGAGGGCCCGGGAUGGAGCCUCGGGCGGGUGCCCUGCUGCAGGGAAUCAGCUUCUCUCUCUUCUUCUGCCCCUCCCUCUGCUCAUGCUUGCUCGCUCUCUCAAAUAUUUUAAAAAAUAAUAAACUGUGGCGACAGUGCAGCUCAAUCUUCUGAAGCUGAAAUUAUGUGUAAGGUUACCAGUCGGCCGUGAUUGACAGGGUCCUAAAAGAACUCUGUCCCCUCUUGCUGCAGUGUGAUCUGCUGACUGCCUCCCGCUUCCUUACAGAAAAAAAAAGCUACCAAAAUGCCUCCUUCUAAGAGCUGGAGUGGAGAAGCAAGCCAAAAGAAGCCUGAUGCAGGACAGACUCCUUGUGAAAAUAUACAUAAAUGACAGGGGGGAGGGGGCGGUGAGGGAAGACAAACAGGACAAAACCUAAGACAAGGCCAGAUAUAUUUAUGCACAUACACACGCAAAUCCCCCUGCCCAAAUGAACUGCUCACGACCACUCAAAAACAACAUAAAAAUCCCUAAUUGUCUUGGCCUUUAAACCUUUCAUCAAUUGUAUCUAAAACAUCAUCAGCACUAAUAACAUCAGAGCAACUGUUAAUUCCCUAUAACUAUAGAGCCCAAACCAGGUCCUAAAUAAAUUCAUAUUCACCAAUUUGGAUUGAAUCAUGUAGCUCAACUUCAAUUAAAAAAAAUUCUCCUCUCUUUUGGAUACUAUUGAACUGUGCUACCCUCACUGACCUGCACCUAAUCGUUGUCUUUAUUCAGAUUCUUCCACAUAAAUACAGAUGUUCCUAAGAAACUACACCCUUUCUCUUUAUUGACUCUCAUUUGGCGACCUCUUCUGUUCAUAGUUUCAACUACUACCUCUUUGCAGAGUUCUGAAGUUAAUGUCUAUCCAAGCUCCAGCCUUACAUUUCUUUUUUUUUUUUCCUUUAAGAUUCUGUUUAUUAUUCAUUUAGAGACUCACAGAGGCAGAGACAUGGGCAGAGGGAGAAACAAGCUCUCUCUGGGGAGCCGGAUGUGGGACUCCAUCCCAGGACCCUGGGACCAAAGGCAAGAUGCUCAACCACUGAGUUGCCCAGGCAUCCCCAGUCCUACAUUUCUGAUAGAUUUUCUGAUAUCUGAAAUAUUUAAAGUCAAAUGCAAUUUCUCUCUGAUUUCCCAGUUUCUAUGAUGAAUAUUUCUUUCCCCCUAAUUUCUAAAAUUCAAAUUUGUAAAUUAGUGUUGAG
Molecule: long non-coding RNA, 2375 nt
Filed under: Canis lupus familiaris (dog)
Lineage: Eukaryota; Metazoa; Chordata; Mammalia; Carnivora; Canidae
Description: lncRNA (ENSCAFG00000052605.1)
Source: RNAcentral